This 74-nucleotide transfer RNA is filed under the name Jakoba bahamiensis. RNAcentral describes it as "tRNA-Met". It matches the Rfam family "tRNA". From Rfam's summary of the family: Transfer RNA (tRNA) molecules are approximately 80 nucleotides in length. The record is from RNAcentral. Lineage: Eukaryota; Jakobea; Jakobida; Jakobidae.
GAUGAUGUAGUUCAGUUGGUCAGAACAAUGGAAUCAUAAUCCAUGUGUCAGGGGUUCAAAUCCCUUCAUCGUCA